CUGUCAUAUCCGGCCCUGCGCGCACUGCACCGGAGCCGGAACUGGCCAGAGAGUGGUUUUUCCCACGACCCCUUCUUGGAUAGAGACCUGGCUCUUUCCUGCGUCCUGUGCUCUUAACAGGCGAUCACCGGGAAGUUCCACCUCUUGGUGACCUCGGACCGCAGCAUAAGCCACUUCAAUGUCCCCUCUCACGUGCUCCGGAAGACCAUGUCUUCCCGGCUGUCCAAGGACUGCGACAGAAGUACAACGUCCGCUCCGUGCCCGCCCGCAAGGACAAUGAGAUCCAGACAUGAAGAAACUGAAACUCAAGUUAAAUGAUACAGAGCAUGGAGUGGAGGAUGACCUUGAUUCCUGAGUGCUGGAAUUACAGGCAGGUGCUACUGUGCUAGACCUAUGUAUGCAGUACCAGGCCUGUGCAUACUAAGCCCGUCCUCCGCCACUGACUCCACUCCCCGCCACGGGUGGUUAUCGCCAGGCUGGAACCAGACAAAGACAGGGAAAAAAUUCUCGAAUGCAAAGCCAAGUCUCGGCAACUUGGGACAGAGAAAGGCCAGUGCAGGGAGCUCACUGAGGAUACAGGGGUGAAACCGGCUGUCAGGCAGCCAGGGCUGACUGCAGAGGCCUGUCUGGUGUCUCUUCAAACUUUUCAAAGUGUGUCUGAUGUGUUUCAUUGUCCACCUGUUUUGCUACUGACCUGUCACUCUUGUAAAUCUCCUUCUGCAGUUUUGAUAAUUUAUGAAUAAAAAUUGGAACUGUUUUCUAAUGUCAA
Long non-coding RNA from Peromyscus californicus insignis, 769 nucleotides. RefSeq lists it as uncharacterized. The transcript has 3 exons. The record is from RefSeq and is a predicted model, not a curated record. NCBI's taxonomy places the organism in Eukaryota, Metazoa, Chordata, Mammalia, Rodentia, Cricetidae.